GCUGGGCAUGGUAGCCCAUGCCUGUAAUCCCAGCAGCUUGGGAGGCAGAGGUAGGAGGAUCGAAAGUUCCAGGCCAGCUUCAGCAACUUAGAGAGGUCCUGUCUCAA
RNAcentral lists this small RNA (107 nucleotides) under Marmota monax (woodchuck). The record is from RNAcentral. Lineage: Eukaryota; Metazoa; Chordata; Mammalia; Rodentia; Sciuridae.